This is a long non-coding RNA of Oreochromis aureus, 261 nucleotides long. RefSeq lists it as uncharacterized. The record is from RefSeq and is a predicted model, not a curated record. NCBI's taxonomy places the organism in Eukaryota, Metazoa, Chordata, Actinopteri, Cichliformes, Cichlidae. The transcript is spliced from 3 exons.
CACGGCUACAGCCGCCCCAAUGCCGACCGAGGCUCCGGUCACCAGAGCCACUCUACCCCGCCAGCGCUCCAUCACAGACAGCCGUAACCAGCUCACGCCCCAAACUUAUGAAGAGAGGGACGUGCCAAGCGUGUGCUCUCAACGCAGGGGAAACAAAUUCUGCCGGGGACAACUACCUUGACAUGACUGCCACAAUAAAAACUGAACUUCAACUGGUUCAAAAAUCCUUGCCCGCAUACCAGUACAUCAUCCCUAUCCUUC